AGAGAGCUUGACGCCAAUAUUAAAUGGGAUACCUUUGAAAAUAUUCGACUUCUUUCUAAGAUGGACAAGGAAUUCGGGAAAUCAGUCAGAUAUUUUAAAAAGGUUAUCAUCCGACGGAAGAGCUUGGAGGGGACAAUAGGGAAGUAUCUUCUUGAUUUUGGCAAGAGACGGUUUAUUCCCGAUACUGUUGCUAAGCAUGGAUCCAUGCUUGAAGAACCUUCAAGCAUGAGAAGAAAAUAUUGGCUGGAAGAGUCAUAUGUUCCGCUGCAUCUCUUGAAAGCUUUUGAAGAUAGAAGAAUUGCCCGGAAGAUCUCCAAAACAAGCUCCAGUAAACAUCAAGAGAGUGAAAUUGUGCCUAAAACGUUUUCUAAGAAAGCAGGAUUUGCAUAUCUUUUCUCAAAGGCUGAAGGAUCGGAAUAUCACCCAUGUGGACUCUGCAAGAAAGAUGUUCUGAUCAGGUAUAGGUAUCCAAUUAUGUAAAUAUAUCUUAUCAUCAUGCUUCAAAUCGUCCGUCACUCAACUGAAUAAUUACUAUAAAUUUAUUUCUGCUGCUGCUACUAAUAUAACUAUCUACUGCCUAUAUGAACCCUUUUGUUGACACUUAACCUUUGCUUAGUGUGAAUAGGCACUUGUGAAUUAUGAUCACUGCAGUAAUCUGUAUUACGUAUGCAAGAAACAAACCUGGAAAAUUAAGUAAUAAGACCAAACUCAUGUAUCUAUCUAUCUGAUUUUUAACAGAAUAAUGGACAUGUAUUCUCUAAGCAUCAGAGUAGUUCAGUCGUUUCCUUCUGAUACUGUCAACUGGGAAUGCUGAAUCCUUGUUCACUCCUUUAAUCCUUAUGAUAUCUAUUCCUCACAUUUACCCCUGGCAAAAUUUAUCCUUAUAUUUUUACAAAAUUAGAGUGAUUACGCACAUGAAUUUACCACUCUAUCUUUUACGUGUUUCACUCAAGAUUUCGGAUCUGUCUAUUAAUUCAGGUCUAAUAUAUCUAGUUAUGUGUAUAUUACUUACAAUAGUAUUAAUACAACCCAGACAAUGAUUGCUAAGCUGGCUGCGCGAUAUAUCUAAACUUUAUUUUUAUAUUUUCUUGCUCAGUUCCUUUCAACAUUGGGAAUCUCUGUUUUCUGCCAUAAAACAUUAUAAUUUAAUCAGUUAAAUCCAAUUAUGUACAAGAUACUAAAAUUUAAGGAUUAAAGCCCAUAAAUUAAAGGUCCUAAAUCUUGUAAUUGUACUGCUCUCAGUUGGGUGCUAGUAAGAGAAGAACCCUUAGGUUGGUAGUAGUCAUUGUCUUCUUCUCUAUAGGAUAGGUUUUCGCCAACAAGUCUUGGAUGGAUGCAAUUGUUGGAGAUGUUUAGUGGCUGCUCUUCAGAUGCCGUUAGUUGUCUCGACCUGAUUUGUGUUUUUUAAUUAAUUUUUUUGAUGUCCUAUUUAGUUUUGAUUUAUCUAUUAGAUACUUAAGUUAUACAUAAGCUUAUAAAAGGACAGCUUUGUUUACACAAGUAUUCCUGAUAAUGUUAUAGGAACACACAUGUCUAGAUAUUUAUGCUAGAAAAUUACCCAGUACUUCAAUAGAAGUAACUAACAUAUCUGGUAUUCCAAUGUAGCAACAGAAACAGUUUCAGAGUAACUUUAACAUGUAAUUUGCUAUUAAUUCCUCUCUUUAAAUUUUCGAAUUUUUUUUAUUGAACUAUGGGCAUACGGUAUUUUGUUCAAUGAUUACAAGGAUUCGACUGUUUGAGUGACAGAAAAAGUCAUAUUGACAUUACUGCUUCUCUGAGUGUCUACAGUUUGUCUUUUAAUACUGUUAAUGUGUCUGAUGCUCAGUAGUCAUGCUAAUUUAUACAUUUGUGUUGCAUUUGUAGGGAGGCUGUACUUUGCCAGAAUUGUGAAGGUAAAUAUUUCCUGCUGAAUGUGCUUAUUAUUUUAGUGCUUUCUCCGGUAUAUGUUUCUGUAAAGGUGAAAAGUUGUUUACUUGUGACUGUAUAUAUAGCCGAAUUUCAUUUCACAUUCUAAACAUAUGGUUUGGGUUGAACUAAAUUUGACAACUUCAGAUGCUUCAGCUGAAGAGCUUUAAAAUGCUGAGUAUUAGCACAUCUUUAUAGUAGGAGUGUAGCUUUUAUUAUUAGGUUUGAUUUACUGGCAUCAGUAAUUUAAAUCUUCCUGUUGCCAUGCGAUAUACUAUGCUCGUGUUUGUAGUGUUUCUCUGCUGCAUAUGUAGUCAACUUUGUCAACAAGCAUAAACAUAUUGAAAAAGAGUUUGUCUAAUCUUGGGCUGCAUAUCUGUCUUCGAGUCUUAAUAUUCAAUAUUCUUUUGUUAGUUAGGUGUUUCUUGAACAGUAAAUCUAGUCUUUGUAAGAAGUCUUUAGACUUCUGUACUCAAUCUCACUUUGGGUUCUUUCUUCUUUUGAUGAGUCCAAGAUAUCAUAAGUUUCAUCUGUCUAUGGUCCUGAAUUUUGUUUGUGCAAUACAUUGUGUGAAAACCAGACCUGUCAAGGAAUUUGUGAGUUACUAAGCUGACAGCUAAAUGUCUACAUGCUCUUGGAUCAAUGUGUUCUACAGACUGCUAAAUCUGAUACGAGGGGAAAAAAAUCUGUGAAUCUUAUGUGAGUGUGUGAAAUUGAUGUUAACAGCUUCUUGGCAGUCUGUAGAAUUUUUAGAAUUUGCUCCAUUACUGGUCCGUCUAGACACGAGCAGUUCUCUUUGGGUCUAAUUCUUUUACAGAACAUGUUUUUGAUAUCAGUGACCCCUUGUCACGUCAACCAAAUUUUUGGAGUUCAGAAAAUUCCAAUCAAUAUAUGUGCUUUUUCCCUCUGCUUAUUCUACUGGUAAAAUUUUGGACUGGCUCAUACUGACUUGUCUUUAUGGUGUUGGUUAAUGACAUCUUGAUACUAAUUUUGAAGCCUGUUCCUGAUUAGUUGUUACCCAUUUUUUUGAUGAGAAGGCUGCAAGGUCCUAACCUAUAUAUCUAUACCUACAGCGAUCAUUAAUUAUAUGAUAGAAAUCUUUGAAAUGUCUGUGCUUAAAAUUUACUGUUGAAUAAGUUGCAACUUGGGUCACUUGGUUCACAUAGGUUAAUUUAAUAUAGCAGUACCUUGCAAAAAAAAAUAAAGAGGUGAUAUAGCAGGACGGUUAAAGGAUGUGCAAGAGGGAAAGUACUAUGCCUUCAUAUUGCGUCUAAAUGGUAUGUCUUUAAUAGCAUAAUACUCCCUCCAUCCCACUUAUUUUAUCCAGUGACAGAAGUCCACAAUUAUAGCAAUCAACUGAAAAUUACCAAAUUUAAGCUCACUUAACAUAUUUGCAAAUUUUAGCAAUCAACUGAAAAUCACCAAAUUUAAGCUCACUUGACAUAUUUGCAAAUUUUAACAUAUUUAAUGCUUAAUUUUCUUUUAUAAGAAAUUGUGGUUAAUACUUUUGGGACUCAAAAUAGGAAUUGUGGCCCAAAUAAUUGGGAUGGAGUGAAUAUCUGUUGUAUAGAGUCUCUGCAGAUCUUUUUUUAUUACACCCUCCGUUCCAUUUUUCUUGUCCUCCUAUCAAGAUCCACAAAUCAUAAAAAAUAACCUAUAUGUUGCCAAAUAAUUAUAUUGUUUUUCAGAAAAAUUAACAAAUUUAACAUGUAAUUUACCAUAUUAACUUAAUGUGGACAACCUUUUUGGGACAAAGAAACAAGGAAAUGAGGACUACAAAACUGGAACAGAGGUAUUUUACAAAUUGUCAAGAGCUAUAAAAACUAAUGCUUAGUUUGGUUGUGGCUUGGGANUGUUCUUUAGAUGACACAUUUUGAAUUGUUUUUUUUAGUUAUGUCACUUAUUUGUGUUGCUGAAUAAUUUAUUUACGUAUUUUCAGGUCAGAGAGCUUGACGCCAAUAUUAAAUGGGAUACCUUUGAAAAUAUUCGACUUCUUUCUAAGAUGGACAAGGAAUUCGGGAAAUCAGUCAGAUAUUUUAAAAAGGUUAUCAUCCGACGGAAGAGCUUGGAGGGGACAAUAGGGAAGUAUCUUCUUGAUUUUGGCAAGAGACGGUUUAUUCCCGAUACUGUUGCUAAGCAUGGAUCCAUGCUUGAAGAACCUUCAAGCAUGAGAAGAAAAUAUUGGCUGGAAGAGUCAUAUGUUCCGCUGCAUCUCUUGAAAGCUUUUGAAGAUAGAAGAAUUGCCCGGAAGAUCUCCAAAACAAGCUCCAGUAAACAUCAAGAGAGUGAAAUUGUGCCUAAAACGUUUUCUAAGAAAGCAGGAUUUGCAUAUCUUUUCUCAAAGGCUGAAGGAUCGGAAUAUCACCCAUGUGGACUCUGCAAGAAAGAUGUUCUGAUCAGGUAUAGGUAUCCAAUUAUGUAAAUAUAUCUUAUCAUCAUGCUUCAAAUCGUCCGUCACUCAACUGAAUAAUUACUAUAAAUUUAUUUCUGCUGCUGCUACUAAUAUAACUAUCUACUGCCUAUAUGAACCCUUUUGUUGACACUUAACCUUUGCUUAGUGUGAAUAGGCACUUGUGAAUUAUGAUCACUGCAGUAAUCUGUAUUACGUAUGCAAGAAACAAACCUGGAAAAUUAAGUAAUAAGACCAAACUCAUGUAUCUAUCUAUCUGAUUUUUAACAGAAUAAUGGACAUGUAUUCUCUAAGCAUCAGAGUAGUUCAGUCGUUUCCUUCUGAUACUGUCAACUGGGAAUGCUGAAUCCUUGUUCACUCCUUUAAUCCUUAUGAUAUCUAUUCCUCACAUUUACCCCUGGCAAAAUUUAUCCUUAUAUUUUUACAAAAUUAGAGUGAUUACGCACAUGAAUUUACCACUCUAUCUUUUACGUGUUUCACUCAAGAUUUCGGAUCUGUCUAUUAAUUCAGGUCUAAUAUAUCUAGUUAUGUGUAUAUUACUUACAAUAGUAUUAAUACAACCCAGACAAUGAUUGCUAAGCUGGCUGCGCGAUAUAUCUAAACUUUAUUUUUAUAUUUUCUUGCUCAGUUCCUUUCAACAUUGGGAAUCUCUGUUUUCUGCCAUAAAACAUUAUAAUUUAAUCAGUUAAAUCCAAUUAUGUACAAGAUACUAAAAUUUAAGGAUUAAAGCCCAUAAAUUAAAGGUCCUAAAUCUUGUAAUUGUACUGCUCUCAGUUGGGUGCUAGUAAGAGAAGAACCCUUAGGUUGGUAGUAGUCAUUGUCUUCUUCUCUAUAGGAUAGGUUUUCGCCAACAAGUCUUGGAUGGAUGCAAUUGUUGGAGAUGUUUAGUGGCUGCUCUUCAGAUGCCGUUAGUUGUCUCGACCUGAUUUGUGUUUUUUAAUUAAUUUUUUUGAUGUCCUAUUUAGUUUUGAUUUAUCUAUUAGAUACUUAAGUUAUACAUAAGCUUAUAAAAGGACAGCUUUGUUUACACAAGUAUUCCUGAUAAUGUUAUAGGAACACACAUGUCUAGAUAUUUAUGCUAGAAAAUUACCCAGUACUUCAAUAGAAGUAACUAACAUAUCUGGUAUUCCAAUGUAGCAACAGAAACAGUUUCAGAGUAACUUUAACAUGUAAUUUGCUAUUAAUUCCUCUCUUUAAAUUUUCGAAUUUUUUUUAUUGAACUAUGGGCAUACGGUAUUUUGUUCAAUGAUUACAAGGAUUCGACUGUUUGAGUGACAGAAAAAGUCAUAUUGACAUUACUGCUUCUCUGAGUGUCUACAGUUUGUCUUUUAAUACUGUUAAUGUGUCUGAUGCUCAGUAGUCAUGCUAAUUUAUACAUUUGUGUUGCAUUUGUAGGGAGGCUGUACUUUGCCAGAAUUGUGAAGGUAAAUAUUUCCUGCUGAAUGUGCUUAUUAUUUUAGUGCUUUCUCCGGUAUAUGUUUCUGUAAAGGUGAAAAGUUGUUUACUUGUGACUGUAUAUAUAGCCGAAUUUCAUUUCACAUUCUAAACAUAUGGUUUGGGUUGAACUAAAUUUGACAACUUCAGAUGCUUCAGCUGAAGAGCUUUAAAAUGCUGAGUAUUAGCACAUCUUUAUAGUAGGAGUGUAGCUUUUAUUAUUAGGUUUGAUUUACUGGCAUCAGUAAUUUAAAUCUUCCUGUUGCCAUGCGAUAUACUAUGCUCGUGUUUGUAGUGUUUCUCUGCUGCAUAUGUAGUCAACUUUGUCAACAAGCAUAAACAUAUUGAAAAAGAGUUUGUCUAAUCUUGGGCUGCAUAUCUGUCUUCGAGUCUUAAUAUUCAAUAUUCUUUUGUUAGUUAGGUGUUUCUUGAACAGUAAAUCUAGUCUUUGUAAGAAGUCUUUAGACUUCUGUACUCAAUCUCACUUUGGGUUCUUUCUUCUUUUGAUGAGUCCAAGAUAUCAUAAGUUUCAUCUGUCUAUGGUCCUGAAUUUUGUUUGUGCAAUACAUUGUGUGAAAACCAGACCUGUCAAGGAAUUUGUGAGUUACUAAGCUGACAGCUAAAUGUCUACAUGCUCUUGGAUCAAUGUGUUCUACAGACUGCUAAAUCUGAUACGAGGGGAAAAAAAUCUGUGAAUCUUAUGUGAGUGUGUGAAAUUGAUGUUAACAGCUUCUUGGCAGUCUGUAGAAUUUUUAGAAUUUGCUCCAUUACUGGUCCGUCUAGACACGAGCAGUUCUCUUUGGGUCUAAUUCUUUUACAGAACAUGUUUUUGAUAUCAGUGACCCCUUGUCACGUCAACCAAAUUUUUGGAGUUCAGAAAAUUCCAAUCAAUAUAUGUGCUUUUUCCCUCUGCUUAUUCUACUGGUAAAAUUUUGGACUGGCUCAUACUGACUUGUCUUUAUGGUGUUGGUUAAUGACAUCUUGAUACUAAUUUUGAAGCCUGUUCCUGAUUAGUUGUUACCCAUUUUUUUGAUGAGAAGGCUGCAAGGUCCUAACCUAUAUAUCUAUACCUACAGCGAUCAUUAAUUAUAUGAUAGAAAUCUUUGAAAUGUCUGUGCUUAAAAUUUACUGUUGAAUAAGUUGCAACUUGGGUCACUUGGUUCACAUAGGUUAAUUUAAUAUAGCAGUACCUUGCAAAAAAAAAUAAAGAGGUGAUAUAGCAGGACGGUUAAAGGAUGUGCAAGAGGGAAAGUACUAUGCCUUCAUAUUGCGUCUAAAUGGUAUGUCUUUAAUAGCAUAAUACUCCCUCCAUCCCACUUAUUUUAUCCAGUGACAGAAGUCCACAAUUAUAGCAAUCAACUGAAAAUUACCAAAUUUAAGCUCACUUAACAUAUUUGCAAAUUUUAGCAAUCAACUGAAAAUCACCAAAUUUAAGCUCACUUGACAUAUUUGCAAAUUUUAACAUAUUUAAUGCUUAAUUUUCUUUUAUAAGAAAUUGUGGUUAAUACUUUUGGGACUCAAAAUAGGAAUUGUGGCCCAAAUAAUUGGGAUGGAGUGAAUAUCUGUUGUAUAGAGUCUCUGCAGAUCUUUUUUUAUUACACCCUCCGUUCCAUUUUUCUUGUCCUCCUAUCAAGAUCCACAAAUCAUAAAAAAUAACCUAUAUGUUGCCAAAUAAUUAUAUUGUUUUUCAGAAAAAUUAACAAAUUUAACAUGUAAUUUACCAUAUUAACUUAAUGUGGACAACCUUUUUGGGACAAAGAAACAAGGAAAUGAGGACUACAAAACUGGAACAGAGGUAUUUUACAAAUUGUCAAGAGCUAUAAAAACUAAUGCUUAGUUUGGUUGUGGCUUGGGAGGUAUUUAAUGAGGUAGGAAUGGACUGGAUUCAAAUCAAGGAAUUGAAUGAAGAUGGAAGAAUGAAAAAAUCUGAAUUAGUACAAAUAUUCUAUUAGGAAUAAAAUUAGUAAAGGUUUAUUUACAAACCUAAUUCCAUUCAUUUCCAAUUUCAUAUUCUCUCCAUUUCAAACCAAACAGAACAUAAUAGUUUACAUGACUGCAAAUAGUUAGAACAUGAAGACCACGAAUGCUAUCUUCUAAUUUAAGACAUUACUUGAUUAGUGCAUAUAAAACUACAUGAUUUUCCAUAAACUUGCUAACUUAUAAAAAAAAUGAUUUAUCCAUUAACUUGCUACUUGCUAAUAUAUCUGUCCCUUCAAGGAUAAAUUAUCUCAGUUUUUUCUCUGUUCCAGUUCAUACAUGUUUCUACUAUUUCACAUGUUCUAUGCAUGCUCUAGUUCUGUCUCAUUCUAGUAUAAGAUCUGUUGCCCUUUAUUGUUUGGAGCUUGCAGCCAAAGCAAUGGUGAAAGUUAUAUUAAAUCCUUGCCUGUUUCUUCUUCUUUUUUUUUUGACCACAUCUCUGGGUGCUAUAUUGUUCAUCUGCAUUAAGGCAGGUUGCUUUUUAAAAAUUUGUUCAUGCUAAGAUAAUUAGGUGUUUUAUAUGGUUUCCAGGAGUUUAAUAACUUUGACCUGACAAGUAUUAAUUCUUAUUGAGCUUUAGUGGGACCUGUUAUACUACUUAGUGUUUUCUCAGGUUUGGCAUGCUUUUUGUUGGUCUUAUAUAUGUGCAGGAUUUUUCCAUAAAAAGCAUGUGACAAAGUCUACUGGAUUAAUUAAUUCAGAAUGUACUUAUACAUGUCGUAAGUGCCAAGAUGGGGCCUGCAUCAAAGUUGGCAAAAAGAAAGGAAGGCCAAAGUUGCAAAAAGGCAGUACCUCCUUCAAGGGCAAGAGGUCACUGUCCUCUAAAAGCAGCACAGCUUCUGUCAAAGGAAAGCAACCCAGACAAUCUAAAGGCAGCAUGAAUAUUGUUGUUCCUUUGCGGCGUUCAACGAGAAAAGUUAAAUUAGUUUCACGUCAGAGCGAAAGUGUGGGAGGCCGAAAGAAAGGGAAGCAAAACACAUUCAAUAAGGGGAAGAGACCAAAGAAACCAAGAUACCCCAAGAAAGCAAAAAAAGCGAAGAUGACUCAGAAGCAAACGUAUACAAUCCCAAGUGUUUUGCAGAAGAGGAAAAGAUCGGCUGUAUGUUAUCCUUACUGGUUAAAUGGUCUUCGGCUGAGUAGGAAGCAGA
RNAcentral lists this long non-coding RNA (8874 nucleotides) under Daucus carota (carrot). RNAcentral's name for it is "long non-coding RNA (DCAR_LNC004754)". The record is from RNAcentral. Lineage: Eukaryota; Viridiplantae; Streptophyta; Magnoliopsida; Apiales; Apiaceae.